This 71-nucleotide transfer RNA is filed under the name Gaiellales bacterium. Its description in RNAcentral is "tRNA-Cys". It matches the Rfam family "tRNA". From Rfam's summary of the family: Transfer RNA (tRNA) molecules are approximately 80 nucleotides in length. The record is from RNAcentral. Lineage: Bacteria; Bacillati; Actinomycetota; Thermoleophilia; Gaiellales. RNAcentral also lists the same sequence under 2 other names.
GGCGACGUGGCCGAGUGGCUAGGCAGCGGCCUGCAAAGCCGUCCACACCGGUUCGAUUCCGGUCGUCGCCU